This 602-nucleotide long non-coding RNA is filed under the name Linum usitatissimum (flax). RNAcentral describes it as "long non-coding RNA (LUSI_LNC002338)". Lineage: Eukaryota; Viridiplantae; Streptophyta; Magnoliopsida; Malpighiales; Linaceae. The record is from RNAcentral.
GAACUCCAAUUUUGUGGACACCGUCACACAUUCUGCCACAAAGCUAACUCGUCCAAGAUUUAAAAUUUGUUUAAAACUGAAGAAGAAAACAAAACUGCAAUUAGUUUAAUGAAAUGAUUCCAUGGCCACCAAAUCCAAUGAUCCGCGGCAGGGAGAGUCCACUCCAAACAAACAAACAAAAAAAGGAAACCCAACUCAACUGCCGUCGCUGGCUCGGCCAGACCACCACACUCAUCCACCGCUUCCUCUUUCCCGGGUCAUCCCCCAGGCCAAAACCUCCAUUCCUCUUUACUCGCAUGACUGCCUCAACUGACCUAUUCAAUCUCACCUCAUCCUCCCUCCUCGCUUCCACUUGUAAACUCCGCCAUGGCAGCUCCACCCUUCAUCUUCCUCUCGCUCCUCCCUUUCCUUCUCUCCCUUCCCCUCGCCCAGACAGGUGAGUAAAUUAACGAGCUGUAUUACUUAGAGAAGAUAUUUCAACUUUUUCUUGCACUUACCCUUUUUUGGGGUUGAAUUUUUGGUAAUUUUGUAGAUACUUUAAUUGAUUGUGGCGCCACCGUUCCUUCCACAAUCGCCGGCCGCCAAUGGCUUUCGGAUGACGG